CCUCAUGUUCAUUCUAUCAUGUAGAAACUGUUUGGUGAAUUGAAAUAGGAAGUUGAGGAUAUUUCUCCAAAGGAAAAGUUUUAAAAACUAAUUCAAUGUGAAAGAAGAUUUGUCCAGCUACAUGCAAGACUGAUAAACUGCUGUAAUAAUAACAACAUGUGACAUGUGACAUGUUAAUUGUGUUUUCAUGAUAUAGUGCCCUUGGAAUUUCCCAGUAGUCCAGUCAAGGAAAAUGAGAACCACACUCAGAUAACUAAAGACCUGCUCUUUGCACAAAAUUAGAAUACCACUGUUACAUAUUCUGGGAACUGACUUUUUCUUUUUUUUUUCAGACACAGUCUCACUCUGUGGCCCAGGCUAUAGUACAGUGGUGUGAUCUCGGCUUAUUACAACUCCACCUCCUGGAUUCAAGAGAUUCUCCCACUUAGCCACCUGGACAUCUGGGAUUACAGGUGUGAACCACUGGGCCUGGCUAAUUUUUCUGUAUUUUUAGUAGAGACAGGAUUUCACCAUUGGGGACUGACUGUUUUUUUUUUAAAUUGCAUUUUAGGUUUUGGGGUACAUAUGAAGAACAUGCAAGAUACUUGCAUAGGGGGAUUCCAAAAAAAAAUGACUACCCAAUCCCAGAGCAAUGCUGUAAGUCUCUCUCCUGAAGACAACGAUAGGGCCUUCCUUGGUUGUUGGGCAAUGUGGUGACUUCCCUUGGCCCUGAAACUCUCCCAGCAACUUGAGUGAAAGAGGUAACUUUGGGAAGAUCCUUGGACCCUGGGUCUGUCGUAUCCCAGCUGGCUUCCAGAGCCUUGGCUUUCAUACCUCACUGCGGUCUGGGAAGUGCCUCAGAAAAAUUUGUUAAGACAAUGUUUCUAUCAGUGGAUCAUAUCAGAAAGUAGGCAGUUCUCAUUACAGGGAUGAACAAGACAAAUGGAGCUUUCCUUGCCCAGAGCAGCAAUAAAAUAGGCAACUUAAUAUCCAGUAAUAAGGCUCAAGGCUCAGAUUAGUAAAACUGGUUAUUAUUUUAUGGCCCUUAAAGAACCAGGUCAAGCAAACCCAGUGCCCCCAAGUAACCCUGAAACCAGGUGGUUCCAGCUCUUUAGGCUUCUUUCCCAAAAAUUCGUACAGCAGCUUCCUAGAGCUGGCUGGAAGGAGCUGAGACUGUUGGAAUUUGGCCUGGGUCUGUAAAUCUUUAGCUAACAGGGGCCUAAUUCAAUACUUCUUUAAAAGAUCAAAAAGACAAUGAGUGUUCUUUUAAAUCACGCUGGGAUUUGCAGUCUUUUUGACGUCUUACUCCCUCUGCAGAAGACCACCUCCAUUUUUCUCACCACCUGCAGCCCCUCCCGAGGUGAGCUAUAGAAUGUGCUGUGCCUUAAAAAAAAAUCUCAUUGUUGGAGCCUCUCAUACUUGUCUUUCAGCAUGCUGAUUUGCUCUGGCUACACUUUUGGAAACUGGCAGCCGUAGGGAGGAUUUUGUGACCAGUAUUAUGAUUUUGGUGUGAGCUUGCCAGUCCUCUUCUGAUUCCGGUCGAGUCAGUCUUGUUAGGUCUUGAUGCUUAUUCUCUUUUUGUUUACUCCACAGGGGAUUUCAUCAUGGUGCCUCCGGGAAUGGACUGCAUACAAUUUUCUGUAUAGAUGAUGGGACUCAAUCUUAAAAUGUAUUCCAAGUAUUGGGCAAUCCCUUUCAACCUCAUUUUAAAAUAGUACUUUUUUUUAACUUUAAAUUCUGGGUUACAUGUGUAGAACGUGCAGGCUUGUUACAUAGGUCUACAUGAGCCAUGGUGGUUUGCUGCACCCUUCAACCCAUCAUCUAUGUUAGGUAUUUCUCCUAAUGCUAUCCCUCCCCUAGCCCCCAACCC
RNAcentral lists this long non-coding RNA (1849 nucleotides) under Callithrix jacchus (white-tufted-ear marmoset). RNAcentral's name for it is "lncRNA (ENSCJAG00000083497.1)". The record is from RNAcentral. Lineage: Eukaryota; Metazoa; Chordata; Mammalia; Primates; Cebidae.